UCCCACUGAUGCCUGCGGACCCUCUGGUGGCACAGCCUUGUCUGGACAAAGUGGACUUCCUGGGAGCACCUCUGUGUGUGGUUUGUAUGUUAUUUAAUAAAGCUUAUAAUUAGAACAACUGAGUGUGAAAAUGUGUUUCCUAGAAUCACUGAUUUAACUAGCCCAAGUGAACUUGGAAAGCCUCAGAGAUCCUUGGUUAUCAUGGUUAUUUCCAUUCAUGGGCAUCUUCAAAAUGCAUGAUUUCAGUAUGACUUUGUUGUAUUAGAUGAUGUCACUGUAUGUUAGUGAAUAGGGUGUGGACUGGUAAGUUCAUUGCCAUAGGAAACCCCUUCUACCAAUGCAGGUGGGCACCUUCUCUGCACCUUACCCCAGAGCAGGGGGGUGGGGUUUGCACAGCUAGUAUGGUGCAGGGACAGGACUGAAUCAGACCUUUCUGUUCUCAAGGCUGGUGGCUUUCUGUCCCCUACUCCAUGCUGCCUUUCAGAUGCCUAUUAGGGACAUUAAAAAUGAAUCAAUUGUACCUUCCUCUUCCUGAAUUGAGGAGCCAUUCUAAAACAAAAGCUACAGUUUAUCAAUGACAUUUUCAACCUGAAUAUUUAAAAGUUGAUAUGACACAAGGUAGGUCGUGAGACACAGAGCCUUCCUUAAGCCAGGAAGACCUGGGCUCAAGACCUUGCUCAGACCAUUCUGGCUUUGUGACUCUAGGCUGGGCACUUAAACCUCUCAGGGCUCCCUGGUAAAUCUAGGACCCUGAAGUUGGAGACCAGUUGCUGAUUUAUCAUUGCUUACUUACCUGGCCUGCCCUAUACCAAUGAAGGUAUCAUUUUAGGCUAAAAGAAAAUGAAGACUCCCAACCCCCAAACCUUUCAGUGUUUAUUUUUCACCUGGACUAAUGUUUGAGGAUAUUCAGGAAAUCAGUCAGCAUUGCUUAGUAUGUCUUAGCUGGAUAAAGAAAUGAUUCCUUUAGAAAUGCAGCACUUAACUCUUCCAUUCAAAUACUAAGUGAGCUGAUACUGCCUCUUAAUAUGGUUCGUUUUCUCUUCCCUCCCACCCACCCAUACUGAAGAUGUUUUCCUUGUUCUUGCCUUUCUACCCUUUUCCACAGUUGGUUUCCAUAAUUGUUUUGAAGUAAGGAGGCUUUCUUUUAAACUUCCCACAGUGUCAGAUAUCACCAGGGCCUGUGAGAAUUAUUGACAAAAAAGACCUUGAACAAAUCUCUUCAAGUCACCACCCCCUCAGUGCUGGGGGGAAAAAAAUCCUGAAAUCAUUUCAUCUGUAACAUGACUGCCAUUAAUAGUUUACAGCAGAUAUUGAUAAAGUGCCCACUCUUUAUGCCCCAAAUAUUUUACCAAUUUUGUAGACAUUUUGAAUGGUAUUUCCACUUAUUAUUUCCUUUUUAUUUUGUUAUACUAUGCAGUACAGAGAAAUGCUGUUGAUUUUUGUGGGUUUAUUUGGUAAAUUUCUACGUAAUUCUAUGCAUUUCUUGGCUCAUAGCAAGCAGCAUAAGAAAAUGAGAAGAUAGGAUGUUGUUCUUGCUAUCAUAUAGGCUUUAGUAGAAAUGUAUCUUUUUUAAUCAGAUGUAGAAUUGAUUGUGAAAACAGCAAAGUGAUAUAAGAAGUUGGUGACAGGUAGCAUCAAGGAGGGUUUCCAUGAAGGAUGGCAUUGAGGGCCAGGCCUUGGAGGAUGAGUAGAAUUUCAGAGACAAGGGGAAGGCAUGCUUCUCUGGAAAUCAAACAUUGUUCCUGUUAUUUUCUGUAACCUUAUUCUGUAUUUCAUAUAACAACCUAAGCCUCUUCUUUGUUUCUCAAGAGGUUCAUGAGUUUAAAAGUUCUGUGUUCCUCUCUCAAGGUAGAUGUCAAAGUUUUGUCUUCCUAUCUAUAGCUUUUUUAAUUAAAGAAAAACUGAGCUAGGUUUAGAGGUUCAAUACACUUAUAAAAACUUUAAUUCUAGGGGAAUUGUUAUCUUAGCAAUACCUGCAAAUCACUUUGUGCCAAGGAAACUUGUUAUCUCUCAUCACUUUAGCUCCUGAGAAAGUCUGUGACAUCUGUCUGCUAUCCUUGAGAACACAGAAGCCGACCUGGCCCCAUCUCACUCAGGGUCUAAAGUGAUAUUCCUAGACACUGGAUACUUCAUUUCCCACCUUCCCACCAGCCUUUCCAUAGGCUAUGGCCAUGCCUGGGACAAGGUAGUUGCUUAAUAAAUGCUUGUUGGCCCACUAGUUGCCAUUGAUGAUUGUAGCAGUGUUUUAAUGAUGUCUAUUGGCCAGAAGAGAUAUUAAAGGUUUCUGAAAUACUUAGGCUGAACAGGGAAGAAUAGCUCAAGGACAGCAUUAUAUUGUACCAUACUUUGAUAUUACAGUCUGAGUCUGCCAUGUCAUGUCUACCUCCUACUAAUAAAUUGCAAAUUAUUCCAACUUUAA
Molecule: non-coding RNA, 2419 nt
Organism: Phascolarctos cinereus (koala)
Lineage: Eukaryota; Metazoa; Chordata; Mammalia; Diprotodontia; Phascolarctidae
Source: RefSeq, a predicted model, not a curated record